GCUGGGCAUGGUGGCGCGUGCCCGUAGUCCCAGCUGCUCCGGAGGCUGAGGCAGGAGAAUUGCUUGAACCCAGGAGGCGGAGGUUGCAGUGAGCUGAGAUCGCACCACUGCACUCCAGCCUGGGUGACAGAGUGAGACUCUGUCUCAA
This is an unclassified non-coding RNA of Pongo abelii (Sumatran orangutan), 148 nucleotides long. It matches the Rfam family "Metazoan signal recognition particle RNA". From Rfam's summary of the family: The signal recognition particle (SRP) is a universally conserved ribonucleoprotein. It is involved in the co-translational targeting of proteins to membranes. The record is from Ensembl. Lineage: Eukaryota; Metazoa; Chordata; Mammalia; Primates; Hominidae.